Long non-coding RNA from Camarhynchus parvulus, 320 nucleotides. RefSeq lists it as uncharacterized. The record is from RefSeq and is a predicted model, not a curated record. Lineage: Eukaryota; Metazoa; Chordata; Aves; Passeriformes; Thraupidae. The transcript is spliced from 3 exons.
CUUCCCUGCAGGUGGGAGCACUUCCCAAAGCUCUAGGACUGAGGCACUCAGCUCCUCACAUUUUGAACUCCAAAGAACAGCAAAGAAACCGAGGCUGUGUCUGCCUUGCAAGGUUUUGUGCACCUGCUCUGGAACCAGGAAAUCCCAGGUGAGAGCAGCUGAAGUGAAGGAGCAGCUCUGACUCAUUUGAACUGCUCAGGACAGGGUGGGAGACAGCAUCUUCCCAAGUGGGCUUAUUUACCAGCUCCAUCCCAGGAUUUCUUAAGAAAUAUGAAGAUUUAGCAAGGCCUUGGCAAUGAAAAACAGGAUUGAAGCUCAUC